UGAGGAAUAUUGGUCAAUGGUCGAGAGACUGAACCAGCCAAGUCGCGUGAAGGAAGACGGCUCUAUGAGUUGUAAACUUCUUUUGUACAGGAGUAAAGUGAGACACGCGUGUUUUAUUGCAAGUACUGUACGAAUAAGCAUCGGCUAACUCCGUGCCAGCAGCCGCGGUAAUACGGAGGAUGCAAGCGUUAUCCGGAUUUAUUGGGUUUAAAGGGUGCGUAGGCGGUAUUACAAGUCAGGGGUGAAAUCUUGGUGCUUAACAUUAAAAUUGCCUUUGAAACUGUGGUACUUGAGUGUAAAAGAGGUAGGCGGAAUGUGUUGUGUAGCGGUGAAAUGCAUAGAUAUAACACAGAACCCCGAUUGCGAAGGCAGCUUACUAUCAUACAACUGACGCUGAUGCACGAAAGCGUGGGGAUCAAACA
Molecule: ribosomal RNA, 422 nt
Filed under: uncultured Paludibacter sp.
Lineage: Bacteria; Pseudomonadati; Bacteroidota; Bacteroidia; Bacteroidales; Paludibacteraceae
Description: bacterial SSU rRNA
Rfam family: Bacterial small subunit ribosomal RNA
Source: RNAcentral